AUCCAUAAAUCAAAUAAACCUAAAGUAUAUAUAGGUGGUUUCUUAGGCUAGGUCAUAUAGGAGAAGAAAUGAUUUACUGACAAGACUAACAUGAGCUUUUGGGCUUAUUGACUGUUGAGUCAUAUCUAGUCUGUGAAUCAUCUCUUUAAAGAUUAAUGAUCAUGCUGUCCUUUGUAAGAUCCGGGGAUAGGACCGUUAAGGCAUUUGCCCUGGUACAUAUUUAAUGUGUGGUCCAUUUGAUGAGCCAGAUAAGGAGGAUUAUCUCCACUUCAUUAUCUUUACUGAUGAUCAGUCAUGAUAUGGAUAUAUGUAUGAGAUACAAAUUUGAAGUCUUUGAAAGAUUCAAAGGAUUCAGAUGUGAAGU
RNAcentral lists this long non-coding RNA (364 nucleotides) under Elaeis guineensis (African oil palm). Its description in RNAcentral is "long non-coding RNA (EGUI_LNC024563)". Lineage: Eukaryota; Viridiplantae; Streptophyta; Magnoliopsida; Arecales; Arecaceae. The record is from RNAcentral.